UGAGGAAUAUUGGUCAAUGGGCGAGAGCCUGAACCAGCCAAGUAGCGUGCAGGAUGACGGCCCUACGGGUUGUAAACUGCUUUUGCGGGAGAAUAACCGGCGCCACGCGUGGCGCCCUGCAGGUAACCCGUGAAUAAGGACCGGCUAAUUCCGUGCCAGCACCCGCGGUAAUACGGAAGGUCCGGGCGUUAUCCGGAUUUAUUGGGUUGAAAGAGAGCGCAGGCGGAGGAUCAAGCCAGCCGUGAAAUGGCGGCGCUCAACGCCGUCCGGCGGUUGGAACUGGUCCCCUUGAUUGCGGGAGAGGAAGGCGGAACUCGUGGUGUAGCGGUGAAAUGCAUAGAUAUCACGAAGAACCCCGAUUGCGAAGGCAGCCUUCCGGCCCGUAAAUGACGCUCAUGCUCGAAGGCGCGGGUAUCAAACAGG
RNAcentral lists this ribosomal RNA (423 nucleotides) under uncultured bacterium. Its description in RNAcentral is "bacterial SSU rRNA". It matches the Rfam family "Bacterial small subunit ribosomal RNA", at positions 355 to 776 of the family's 1533-position model. The record is from RNAcentral.